AAGCGGCGGGUCUUCGGGGCGUGACAGAGGGGCUCAAAAUAGAUAUAUUUAAAAUAUAUAUAAAUCGGUAAAAAAAAAUAUAGUUUAAAAUAAUUGCCGCUAAAAGAUAAGUUGACAAUAAAUAAUAACGGCUAUUUAAUAAUUGCCGCUAUUUAAUUGUCACUAAAUAUCUAUUUGUUAGGAAUUUUGUAUUGGCAACUUUUGUGAUUUGAGUUGAGUCUUGAAGGAUUCGGUUUAGGCUGUCGACUGUUAAAGAAUCCGAGAUUCCG
RNAcentral lists this long non-coding RNA (269 nucleotides) under Ananas comosus (pineapple). RNAcentral's name for it is "long non-coding RNA (ACOM_LNC010377)". The record is from RNAcentral. Lineage: Eukaryota; Viridiplantae; Streptophyta; Magnoliopsida; Poales; Bromeliaceae.